CAUUAUCUCAUAGAAAGGGUUUCUCUUUCGAAAACCAUUGACUUGAGAGGUGGGUUUUUCAAUCCCUUUCCGUCAUAUUUUGGAACUAUACAGAAAGAAAUUCAACAAAGAUAAGAAGACAGCUUAUGGUACAUCUAGUGGCCAUCAAUCUACGUGAAUGCCGAAAUCAAUAUACUUUGUGAGCACGUCUGCUGUCCAUUAAACUUAGAUUCUUUCCUACUUCGCUGGUUUGCUGAUGCGGCUACGCCACUGCUUUUGCUUUGCAAUCACACUCUUUGUUAUCCGCCCGACAUCUCUUCAUACUGUGACUAUGCGCCGAAAAUUGCUGUUUCAUAUUCUAACGCUACACAGUUUGCUACGCAGAAAAAAACUAUAUUCAAGUCAUGAUAAUUCAAGUCAAGCCGGGUAGCUUGAUUAACGUGACUUAAAAUAACAAAAUUUUUUUAAAAAAAACUAAUUUUAAAAACAAUCAAAAAAAAAUUUAAGAUAAAAAAUAUAAGAUGAUGAUAAACUCAUAAAAAUAAAUAUGAUAAAAGCCACGAAAUUCAAAACUCAAUAACUUAAUGUUGAAGGACUAAAUCAAAAAAAUUUAUAUUGAAAAAAAACAUUGAAAAAAAACCUGAAUAAUCCUGGGUUAACCGGACAAGCCCGCAACCUGAAAUAUAUAAACGGGACAUAAAGGAAAGCGGGAAAAACCAUGAAACUCAAGACCUAAUGAGUUAAAUGAUGAAAUUAAAAAAUAAUUAGUUUUUACAAAAAAGCAUAAAAAUAACAAAAUUAAAUCGGGCUAAUCCUUGAAUCUAGUGACCCGAUUCAUGAGAUCGAGAUUAGCCCAUAGAAGAAAAACAUUAAAAAAUCACUAAGCAAAAUCCCUAAUCAUCCAGAAUUAAAAAUCAAAACAAAUAGCAAUUAAAAUACUGAGAAUUAAAUUUGACAUAAAAACUAAAUGGAUAAAAACAACGAGGGACUAAAUUAAAAAAUAAAACAAA
RNAcentral lists this long non-coding RNA (989 nucleotides) under Populus trichocarpa (black cottonwood). Its description in RNAcentral is "long non-coding RNA (PTRI_LNC000439)". The record is from RNAcentral. Lineage: Eukaryota; Viridiplantae; Streptophyta; Magnoliopsida; Malpighiales; Salicaceae.